UAUCUAAUAUGCUGUUGCCCGCAGAGUAAUGUUCAAUCCUCAAACGAGUUUCUUUCGUAAUUUCUUUCUCCAAUGCAUCAGCUGAUUUGCUGAUAUCUUUUAUUUGCUUUUCCAGAAGAUUACUUAGGUCCACGUCAUAGUUUAUGUCCUCAAUCAGAAAUGGAGAUGCACCAGAAGAUUUCACAUGUUUUUCUGAUUCCAAUAACACUGCAACAGUUGGGUAGACAGUGAUGCUUUUCAUGGCCAAUUUCAUGAU
This 256-nucleotide unclassified non-coding RNA is filed under the name Hevea brasiliensis (rubber tree). The record is from RNAcentral. Lineage: Eukaryota; Viridiplantae; Streptophyta; Magnoliopsida; Malpighiales; Euphorbiaceae.